GCUUGCUCCCGGAUGUUAGCGGCGGACGGGUGAGUAACACGUGGGUAACCUGCCUGUAAGACUGGGAUAACUCCGGGAAACCGGAGCUAAUACCGGAUAGUUCCUUGAACCGCAUGGUUCAAGGAUGAAAGACGGUUUCGGCUGUCACUUACAGAUGGACCCGCGGCGCAUUAGCUAGUUGGUGGGGUAAUGGCUCACCAAGGCGACGAUGCGUAGCCGACCUGAGAGGGUGAUCGGCCACACUGGGACUGAGACACGGCCCAGACUCCUACGGGAGGCAGCAGUAGGGAAUCUUCCGCAAUGGACGAAAGUCUGACGGAGCAACGCCGCGUGAGUGAUGAAGGUUUUCGGAUCGUAAAGCUCUGUUGUUAGGGAAGAACAAGUGCGAGAGUAACUGCUCGCACCUUGACGGUACCUAACCAGAAAGCCACGGCUAACUACGUGCCAGCAGCCGCGGUAAUACGUAGGUGGCAAGCGUUGUCCGGAAUUAUUGGGCGUAAAGGGCUCGCAGGCGGUUUCUUAAGUCUGAUGUGAAAGCCCCCGGCU
Molecule: ribosomal RNA, 546 nt
Filed under: Microbacterium barkeri
Lineage: Bacteria; Bacillati; Actinomycetota; Actinomycetes; Micrococcales; Microbacteriaceae
Description: bacterial SSU rRNA
Rfam family: Bacterial small subunit ribosomal RNA
Source: RNAcentral